This is an unclassified non-coding RNA of Aotus nancymaae (Ma's night monkey), 102 nucleotides long. It matches the Rfam family "Y RNA". From Rfam's summary of the family: Y RNAs are components of the Ro ribonucleoprotein particle (Ro RNP), in association with Ro60 and La proteins. The Y RNAs and Ro60 and La proteins are well conserved, but the function of the Ro RNP is not known. NCBI's taxonomy places the organism in Eukaryota, Metazoa, Chordata, Mammalia, Primates, Aotidae. The record is from Ensembl.
GGCUGGUCCAAGUGCACUGGUGUUUACAACUAAUUGAUCACAACCAGUUACAGAUUUCUUUGUUCCUUCUCCACUCCCACUGCUUCAUUUGACUAGCCUUAA